This 103-nucleotide microRNA precursor is filed under the name Marmota monax (woodchuck). The record is from RNAcentral. Lineage: Eukaryota; Metazoa; Chordata; Mammalia; Rodentia; Sciuridae.
AGUGGGAUAGCUGGGUUAAAUGGUGGUUCCAUUCCAAGUUUUCUAAGGAAUUUCCAUACUGCUUUCCAGAAUGAUUGCACCAAUUUGCAGUCCCAUCAGCAAU